RNA transcript from Gracilinanus agilis (Agile Gracile Mouse Opossum), 3326 nucleotides. It is a transcript of the gene named heterogeneous nuclear ribonucleoprotein R, with no coding region annotated. The record is from RefSeq and is a predicted model, not a curated record. The transcript has 13 exons. Lineage: Eukaryota; Metazoa; Chordata; Mammalia; Didelphimorphia; Didelphidae.
GGACACUUCCAGUGUAACUCACACAGAGCACUACAAGACACUGAUAGAGGCAGGCCUCCCACAGAAGGUGGCAGAGAGACUUGAUGAAAUAUUUCAGACAGGGCUGGUAGCUUAUGUCGAUCUUGAUGAAAGAGCAAUUGAUGCUCUUAGAGAAUUUAAUGAAGAAGGCGCCCUCUCUGUGCUCCAACAAUUUAAGGAAAGCGACCUGUCUCAUGUGCAGAACAAAAGUGCAUUUUUAUGUGGAGUUAUGAAGACCUACAGGCAAAGGGAGAAACAAGGGAGCAAGGUACAAGAAUCAACAAAGGGACCUGAUGAAGCAAAGAUUAAGGCUUUGCUCGAGAGGACUGGUUACACACUAGAUGUAACCACAGGACAGAGGAAAUAUGGUGGACCUCCUCCAGAUAGUGUAUAUUCUGGUGUACAACCUGGCAUUGGGACAGAGGUUUUUGUAGGUAAGAUACCAAGAGAUUUAUAUGAAGAUGAAUUGGUACCACUGUUUGAAAAGGCUGGUCCCAUUUGGGACUUACGCCUUAUGAUGGAUCCUCUGUCUGGUCAGAAUAGAGGGUAUGCAUUCAUCACCUUCUGUGGAAAAGAUGCCGCACAGGAAGCUGUCAAGCUGUGUGACAGCUAUGAAAUCCGUCCGGGUAAACACCUUGGAGUCUGCAUUUCAGUGGCAAACAACAGGCUAUUUGUUGGAUCGAUUCCAAAGAACAAAACCAAGGAAAACAUAUUGGAAGAAUUCAGCAAAGUCACAGGUUUAACAGAGGGUUUGGUGGACGUUAUUCUCUAUCAUCAACCCGAUGAUAAAAAGAAGAAUCGGGGGUUCUGCUUCCUUGAGUAUGAAGACCACAAGUCGGCAGCACAAGCCCGGCGCAGGCUUAUGAGCGGGAAAGUCAAAGUCUGGGGCAAUGUUGUGACCGUGGAGUGGGCCGACCCUGUGGAAGAACCAGACCCGGAGGUUAUGGCCAAGGUGAAAGUUCUGUUUGUGAGAAACUUGGCCACUACAGUGACAGAGGAAAUAUUGGAGAAAUCCUUUUCUGAAUUUGGAAAGCUAGAAAGAGUGAAGAAGCUAAAAGAUUAUGCAUUUGUUCACUUUGAAGAUAGAGGAGCAGCAGUUAAGGCCAUGGAUGAGAUGAAUGGGAAAGAAAUAGAGGGGGAAGAAAUUGAGAUAGUCUUAGCCAAACCUCCUGACAAGAAAAGGAAAGAACGCCAGGCUGCACGACAGGCCUCCAGAAGCACCGCGUAUGAAGAUUAUUACUACCAUCCCCCACCUCGUAUGCCACCUCCUUUGAGAGGCCGAGGACGUGGUGGGGGGAGAGGCGGCUAUGGUUACCCUCCAGAUUACUAUGGCUAUGAAGAUUAUUAUGAUGACUACUAUGGCUAUGAUUAUCAUGAUUAUCGUGGAGGCUAUGAAGACCCGUACUAUGGCUAUGAUGAUGGCUAUGCAGUAAGAGGAAGAGGAGGAGGAAGGGGUGGGCGCGGUGCUCCGCCACCACCACGGGGGCGCGGAGCACCACCUCCACGAGGUAGAGCUGGCUAUUCACAGAGGGGGGCACCUUUGGGACCGCCAAGAGGAGCUCGGGGCGGGAGAGGGGGCCCUGCACAGCCACAGAGAGGCCGUGGUUCGCGUGGAGCUCGGGGUAACCGUGGGGGCAACGUAGGAGGCAAGAGAAAAGCCGACGGGUACAACCAGCCCGACUCCAAGCGCCGUCAGACCAACAGCCAGCAGAACUGGGGCUCCCAGCCCAUCGCCCAGCAGCCGCUUCAGCAAGGUGGCGACUAUUCUGGGAAGCGUGGUUGAGGCUGCCCUGACCUGACAUGUCAUGAUGUCGACUUGCUAGGUGGGGUUCGCUGGGGACGAUACCAAUGGAGUUGUUGUUCCUUCAGGGUAACUCCUAAGGUUCUACUUAUCAUCUCCUUUAUGUUGUGAUUCUGACGGCCCUUGAUCCUGUUGUGAUUUGGGGAACCUGUCCACGUCUUCAGUAGAUGGUCUUCAUGAAUUGGCGUAUUCACCACCACCCAGCGGCUAACCUGGUAAUGAGGCUCUCUGAACUUAGCUAGGCGGGUCCUUGGAUGGCAGACGCCCAGUCCGCCACUGAGCCCUGCUCAGUCUUUGCAGCUCGGCAGGACCUUCCGGAGCUUGCACUUGGCCUGGCAUUGCCUUCAAGAACCCAGGUCACUUCCACACUACUAUGUCGCUUCAAAGGAAGACUUCAAUGGAGGUGAUUUUGAUAUUGAUAUUAAUAAUAAAGUCUUAUUUUCAAUGCCGAAAGAUAGCCAUAAUGUAUUUUCUUCAUCCUACCUAGCUUCCUUAAAGCUCUGAGAUGACUUUCAUUUCUUCUUUACUAAUCUGGGCAUUUGUUCCGAGGGCAUAUUUCAGUAGGUCUUGAAAAGUCCUUGCAUAGGAACCCUUGAGAUGCUUCUGAAAGCGCCUUGGCAGUGUUGUGACACUCUCCUGUGCAUUCUUGGGACUUCUGGCUGUGCACCUAUCCUCUUCUUUUCUUGGUCCACUUUACAACUCUGUAUGUCAUGUUAGGAAAGAUUGUGAGAUGCUAGGCAAUUUAUAAGGAAUCUUUUGCCAAUAGGGGAUAGUUUUUUACCAAAUAGUGGAACUAACUUAGAAAGCCGUGUUGAAAUGCAUAGAACUUAAAAUGUUAGAAGGGAGCAUUGCACAGUUCAGGAAGCAGAAAAAAUGACCUACAUUUGCCUUGGAUAGCUUCCAUAGGGCUUCUUUAGAGAGAUUCCUUGAGGUACACAGUGCAGGAAGUAGCUCUGUCUUACUGAUGAAGACGUGUGUUCUCAGAGAGGGGAAGGGAUUGGCCCAAGGUAAUAUGAUUAGUCAGAAAGAGCGGGUCAUGGGGAAAUGUUUGCACACAGUCAGAUAUAUGGCUUCCACCAUUGGCAUUGUGCAAUAAAGUCAUUAAUAUAGGAUAAAUAAACUUUGUGGUAACCUAAGGCAGUCUGCUUGCCUAUUUUGUCUGAGAUGAAAAUUACAACUGUUCUGUGGAAGAUUUUCUUGAGUUUUUGUCGAAGGAAUUAAGUGUUAAUUGAUAUAGUACUGGUUUUUACUAUGUGUAAACUGCCCUAGGAAAGUUAUCUUUCUUAAACCAAUGUUCUUAGUCCCUUAAAUGGACACGGUUGCUUAGUUAAGCAGUUGUACAGUAAAAGAAGUAGAAUCCUAUUUGAAUGUAGUGGCUCUGUCCAGUUCUCCUUAAUAAGACCAUUGCUAGGCUCUGGCCCAAAGCUUGUACUAACAUAGCUUGGCUGGCAUGCAUACUCAUUCCCAUGUUUUGGAAAGCCUAUAGAGUAGGCUUCCCAUUCAUUAG